ACUAUGAACUUACACUAAGGGCAUGUUUGGUUCGAAGUCGGAGUCGAAAUCAGAAUCGAAAUCAAAAUAAGCUGGAAUCGGAAUCGGAAUUACUCAUUACCUAAUUUUGUUUGGUUUAUCACCUGAAUCGGAAUCGAAAUAAAUCAUUUCCAUUAUCGCUGUUUGGUUUAGGUGGAUAUAAAAAACGUAAUCAAAUUAAUAUACUAACAUUAUCUUUAUAAUAUAUUAAUUUAAAUUCAAAUUAAAAAUUAAAUAUUAAAAAUUUACUUUAAAAUUUUGAAAUAAUGUCAAAAUUUUAAAUCUAUUUUUUUUU
This 313-nucleotide long non-coding RNA is filed under the name Ananas comosus (pineapple). RNAcentral's name for it is "long non-coding RNA (ACOM_LNC003058)". Lineage: Eukaryota; Viridiplantae; Streptophyta; Magnoliopsida; Poales; Bromeliaceae. The record is from RNAcentral.